RNAcentral lists this transfer RNA (74 nucleotides) under Actinomycetota bacterium. RNAcentral's name for it is "tRNA-Leu". It matches the Rfam family "tRNA". From Rfam's summary of the family: Transfer RNA (tRNA) molecules are approximately 80 nucleotides in length. Their secondary structure includes four short double-helical elements and three loops (D, anti-codon, and T loops). The record is from RNAcentral. Lineage: Bacteria; Bacillati; Actinomycetota.
GGCCCUCUAGCCCAACCGGAAGAGGUGCUCCGCUCAAAACGGAGAAGUUCAGGGUUCGAAUCCCUGGGGGGCCA